CUAGCCCAACAACUAAACCAACCAACUACCAAGCAAAAAUAAAACCAAAACAUUUAAUCGCUUACUAGAGUAUAGGAGAUAGAAAUUUUUAACGGAGCUAUAGAGAUAGUACCGUAAGGGAAAGAUGAAAGAACACCUAAAGUAAAAAACAGCAAAGAUUACCCCUUCUACCUUUUGCAUAAUGAGUUAGCUAGAGCAACUUAACAAAGAGAACUUAAGCUAAGCCCCCCGAAACCAGACGAGCUACCUACGGACAAUCCCCAGGGAUGAACUCAUCUAUGUCGCAAAAUAGUGAGAAGAUCUAUAGGUAGAGGUGAAAAGCCAAACGAGCCUGGUGAUAGCUGGUUGCCCAGAAUGGAAUUUCAGUUCAACUUUAAACUUACCUAACAACCUAGAAAUUUUAAUGUAAGUUUAAAUUAUAGUCUAAAAAGGUACAGCUUUUUAGAUAAAGGGUACAACCUUACUUAGAGAGUAAGUAUGAUCGAGA
Molecule: ribosomal RNA, 487 nt
Filed under: Odobenus rosmarus (walrus)
Lineage: Eukaryota; Metazoa; Chordata; Mammalia; Carnivora; Odobenidae
Description: partial 16S ribosomal RNA
Rfam family: Bacterial large subunit ribosomal RNA (bases 151-487)
Source: RNAcentral